This 946-nucleotide long non-coding RNA is filed under the name Mus musculus (house mouse). RNAcentral's name for it is "long non-coding RNA chr12:112588781-112589727". The record is from RNAcentral. Lineage: Eukaryota; Metazoa; Chordata; Mammalia; Rodentia; Muridae.
GCGAGCGCGGUUAGACUGUGCGGAAAGCAGCCGCGAGGCCGCCGCCCGCAGCCCCAGACGCUCCGGCGCCGGGACACAGCACUCUGCACCAUCUCUCGGCUGUACCCCCACCCGGUAAGUCCGCGGCUUCGGGCUAGCCUGGAACGCAGAGGGAAACCGAGUCUGGGGGCAGUGAGGGAAAUGGUUGGGGUUGAGGAGCGGACUGCCGCGUGUGCACCAAGGUGGCCAAGAACCUGGUCCCGCGCUCUUGGCCCUCGACUACGGGCUGAUAUGGAGAUGAUGCUCACUGCUCAUAGGGUGUUUGCUCCGGGUCGGACUGGAGGAGUUCCCCCACCUUGCGGCUACCACAUCCUGACCAUGAAUCAGCCACAGUUGAGAAAAUAAACUUCAACUGGAGGUCCGCCUCCGGGAUAGCACAGGGCGAGCUUGCGGCCCCGCCCUGACAGCUAGCUUCUAAAGAUGCCCGCCGCCGGUGGGCUAAGGCAGACCUGAGAGAGUGACACAGCUCUGUUUCUUGUGGCUACCCCUGUCUACCCUCCUCCUGGGCAAGGACGCUGGGAAUGAAGGUGAUCUUAGCAGAAAGCCCAACUAUGCUUUGGUGGACUCCCUAGAGGACUAUGGGAUGGAGAGCCGUCUAUGGGCCCGUGUGUCCCGUCUUCUAACCGCUCAGUGCCCGGUGGCACACGGUGACAGGUUGGACACACCAGGAGUCAGCGGCAAAAAUGACCCUGCUCCUUCCUGCCUUGGGCUCCAGGUCAGUGCACCCACUCUAAAGCUUGCACGCCCGGGUCGAAGCCAGAGUUGGGAAGUCCCUCCUUACCCGUCCUCUCUGGGCCUCAAUUCCUUCUCUAAACUUGAAGGGUGAGGAGAGUGUCUCAGACUGUAUCCCUUCAGGGUGUCACCCAGGGCAGGGGGCAUUUGGGAAGCAGACACUGUAACCCCUAGA